RNAcentral lists this long non-coding RNA (393 nucleotides) under Ixodes scapularis (black-legged tick). RNAcentral's name for it is "uncharacterized LOC121835962". The record is from RNAcentral. Lineage: Eukaryota; Metazoa; Arthropoda; Arachnida; Ixodida; Ixodidae.
UUCCUUGUCGCUCACAUUCUUUGCGCAUUGGAUGACCCUCAAGCUUUUUCCAAGGAAGUACCGGAACCGACCUGUCACGGAGCGAGCAGUCAAAUGGCGGGAACAGACCCAGAGGCAAGGUCCCACGGGGGCGUGGGGCGCCGAGCGAGGCGCUUGAAAGGCACAAGCAUUGGAGACCAGCUGCCUCCACAAUCAUGCCCCCCCUGCUUUCCUGGUAGUUGCUGUCAUUGUACCAAAAAGUGCAUAAGGGGUGGACGUUACUUAACUAUCAUUUCAAUCCUGGGGACAUAGAGUCAUUGCUAACCAGGGCCGGUCACUGCUAGCCAAAACAAGACUUCAUAGGUGCAUAUCAGAGAGCAGGUUCGGCUUCCUGGCAGCGCCAUCGACCUCCCA